UUUGGAAUGAUGAUUGCUGCUGCUUGCUUUUUUCUAUUCGCAUUGCUGAUUCAUCAAGAAUCAGCUCAGCUUUUGGAUUGGAAUUGUGUAAAAGACCCACCGGAUCACAACGAACGCGUUCCUUGGCUGGCAUUUAUAAUGACGCCCUCAAAGAACUGCUCGGGAGCGCUUAUAAGCAAACAAUUUGUCAUAACCGCUGCGAACUGCGUGGUUGCUGAAAAGGAAAGCUCAGUUCGUUUGAACUCCGAAGUUUACCCCGUCCAAUAUACCUACUUAACUUCCAAUGACAGUUUUACGAUGGAUAUAGCUCUGCUAAAGCUUAAAGAGCCUGUAAUCUAUAAACCCUAUGUGAGGCCAAUAUGCAUUUUGUUGAGCGAUCUUGUGCUAAAAACCGGCAGGAUUUUAAAAGACACCCGUUGGGGCUUAACUGGAUCGCCUGCAACGAAAACAAUUACUAAAUUUAAGAAUGCAAAGUGCUAUAGCUCCUUCGGAAAGCGGCUCAAUGAAUUCCAGAUCUGUGCUGGCUACAGCAACAACGAUCAAUGCGAGGAAAUGGGAAGUCCAUUGGGAAUUGAUGCAAAUAGUCAGAAUGCAAAUAUUUACAUACUAGCCGGAAUUCAGAGCUAUGGCGCUUUAGGAACUUGUGUCUACUCCAAUAUCUUAAGUACUGAUAAGGCCCAAGUUUUGUUAUUGAACACACGUCGCUAGUGUUUCAGUUGUGGAAAAGCAUUUGGUCUGGAACGAUGACUUUCUUUGUUUUUGGUGUUUUGUUCUCAUGUCUGCUGCUUCAUCAGGGAUCGGCCCAGCUUCUGGAUUUAAAUUGUGCCGACAUAUCCAAAAAUUCGAUAUCAAAAAGUCCAUGGAUGGCAUUGGUUCAACUGCCCGAUAAAAAUUGCAGUGGCACCCUGAUUCACAAACAAUUUGUGGUAGCAUCAACAAAUUGUGUGUUUAAUCAAAGCGAACUCACCGUUCUUUUGGGCGUUUUCAACAGUAAACUACACAAAAAGCAUUACGACAUGUAUCCCACCAUGCAAAUUUCUGUCCAAAACGUCUUCAUUCACAAUAAAUUUGACAGAGACAACUAUAAAAAUGAUUUAGCUCUGCUCCAACUAGAACAACCUGUGCCCUAUAAAGAAAACAUACGGCCCAUAUGCAUUUGGUUAAACAGAAAGAAAAUCCAAAACGAAAAAAAAAUUAUGAAAACAACACUUUGGGACGUAACUAAGAAAAUGGUGUUUCCAAUUCCACAAACCAGAAACGUAACUCUCUUUUCACCAAUCGAGUGUAAGCAUGUCUUGGAUGUUUCUCCCGAUGAAUCGCAUAUUUGUGCUGGUUACAAGUUUAAUGCCUCGUGCGUGGAAGCUGGAAGUCCUUUGUUUCAAAAGUUGAACAUUUGGAAUACAAAUCGUACCACACUUAUUGGAAUUCAGAGUUAUGGCGUUUCGGGAACUUGUCUAUUUACGAGUAUCUCUAGCUAUAUUGAUUGGAUAGUUGGGAUCGUGAUGGAGGUAGAUGUUAUAGUUUCGAAUUGAGAAGAUAUAAAUUAACGAAAAAUAAAUUUUCUAAAUAAACUA
This is an RNA transcript of Drosophila elegans, 1574 nucleotides long. It is a transcript of the gene named chymotrypsinogen B2-like, with no coding region annotated. The record is from RefSeq and is a predicted model, not a curated record. The transcript is spliced from 6 exons. Lineage: Eukaryota; Metazoa; Arthropoda; Insecta; Diptera; Drosophilidae.